UUUUUUUUUUUUUUGGGUAAUUAACUAUGAAAUUAAAAUGUCAUGGCUCCUCAAAAAAUUGCAAGACUGUAGUUUGCAACAAGUCUUGAUGCAGUUCUUCCAACAAAAAUCCUAAAAUUAGUUUUGCCAAAUACCGACUUUAGGCAAUUUGUUACUCCACAAUGAUCAUAAAUUUGCAAAUGUAUUAAAAUGUGCACCAAAAGAAGAAAAGGUGAGAGGAGACAAGUACAGA
Molecule: unclassified non-coding RNA, 232 nt
Filed under: Hevea brasiliensis (rubber tree)
Lineage: Eukaryota; Viridiplantae; Streptophyta; Magnoliopsida; Malpighiales; Euphorbiaceae
Source: RNAcentral